RNAcentral lists this ribosomal RNA (1331 nucleotides) under uncultured bacterium. RNAcentral describes it as "bacterial SSU rRNA". It matches the Rfam family "Bacterial small subunit ribosomal RNA", at positions 26 to 1377 of the family's 1533-position model. The record is from RNAcentral.
CGAAUCACGCUGGCGGCGUGCCUAACACAUGCAAGUCGAACGCGAAAGGGGCUUCGGCCCUGAGUAGAGUGGCGAACGGGUGAGUAACACGUGGGUGACCUACCCUCGAGUGGGGGAUAACAUCCCGAAAGGGGUGCUAAUACCGCAUGACAUCCUGCCUUUGAACAGGCGGACAUUAAAGCCGGGGAUCGCAAGACCUGGCGCUCGAGGAGGGGCUCGCGUCCGAUUAGCUAGCUGGUGGGGUAACGGCCUACCAGGGCUGCGAUCGAUAGCUGGUCUGAGAGGAUGAUCAGCCAGACUGGGACUGCGAACGGCCCAGACUCCUACGGGAGGCAGCAGUUAGGAAUUUUGGGCAAUGGGCGGAAGCCUGACCCAGCAACGCCGCGUGGGUGAUGAAGGCCCUCGGGUCGUAAAGCCCUUUUCCCAGGGAAGAUGGUGACGGUACCUGGGGAAUCAGCCCCGGCUAACUACGUGCCAGCAGCCGCGGUAAUACGUAGGGGGCAAGCGUUGUCCGGAUUUAUUGGGCGUAAAGCGCUCGCAGGUGGUCCGUUGCGUCGUGCGUGAAAGGCCCCGGCUCAACUGGGGAGGGUCGUGCGAUACGGGCGGACUGGAGGCCAGUAGGGGGAUGCGGAAUUCCGGGUGUAGUGGUGGAAUGCGUAGAGAUCCGGAGGAACACCAGCGGCGAAGGCGGCAUCUGGGACUGGUCCUGACACUCAGGAGCGAAAGCGUGGGGAGCGAUCCGGAUUAGAUACCCGGGUAGUCCACGCCGUAAACGAUGAGCACUAGGUGUCGGGGGUAUCGACCCCCUCGGUGCCGCAGCCAACGCGAUAAGUGCUCCGCCUGGGGACUACGGCCGCAAGGCUAAAACUCAAAGGAAUUGACGGGGGCCCGCACAAGCAGCGGAGCGUGUGGUUUAAUUCGACGCAACGCGAAGAACCUUACCUGGGCUUGACAUGCGCGUGGUACGACCUCGAAAGGGGGAGGACCCGCAAGGGAGCGCGCACAGAUGCUGCAUGGCUGUCGUCAGCUCGUGCCGUGAGGUGUUGGGUUAAGUCCCGCAACGAGCGCAACCCUCGCUGCCAGUUACCAUGUCUGGCGGGACCGCCGGGUCCAACCCGGAGGAAGGUGGGGAUGACGUCAAGUCAGCACGGCUCUUACGUCCAGGGCUACACACACGCUACAAUGGCCGGUACAACGCGCGGCGAUGGGGCGACCCGGAGCGAAUCGCAGCAAAGCCGGUCUCAGUUGGGAUUGCAGGCUGCAACUCGCCUGCAUGAACGCGGAGUUGCUAGUAACCGCAGGUCAGCACACUGCGGUGAAUACGUUCCCGG